CUCUCUUUUCUCCCCCUAUUUCUCUAUUCUAUUAUCUUUCUCUCUUCUAUUCUUCCUCUACAUCAUUUCUUCUCUGUUAGGGUUUCCCAAACACUAACAUGUUACUUAUAAUUGUUGAAAAUUCCUUGUACCAGGAUCCAAACUGAAGAGUAAUUUGUUUCUCACGAUUUAGAUAUAUUAAAUUCGGAGAGUGUUAUGCAAAUUACAUAUUGAUUCAUUUUAAUAUGGGCUUAUAU
Molecule: unclassified non-coding RNA, 236 nt
Filed under: Hevea brasiliensis (rubber tree)
Lineage: Eukaryota; Viridiplantae; Streptophyta; Magnoliopsida; Malpighiales; Euphorbiaceae
Source: RNAcentral